Molecule: ribosomal RNA, 459 nt
Filed under: uncultured bacterium
Lineage: Bacteria
Description: partial 16S ribosomal RNA
Rfam family: Bacterial small subunit ribosomal RNA
Source: RNAcentral
CCUACGGGUGGCUGCAGUGAGGAAUAUUGGUCAAUGGGCGAGAGCCUGAACCAGCCAAGUCGCGUGAGGGAUGACGGCCCUAUGGUUUGUAAACUUCUUUUGUCUGGGAAUAAAAUGCUCCACGUGUGGGAUUCCGUAUGUACCAGAUGAAUAAGCAUCGGCUAACUCCGUGCCAGCAGCCGCGGUAAUACGGAGGAUGCGAGCGUUAUCCGGAUUUAUUGGGUUUAAGGGGUGCGUGGGCGGAAGGUAAAUUCAGAGUUAAAAUUUUGGGGUUAAACCUCAAAGUGUCGUUGAAACUUGUUGUCGUGAGUGAACGAGAGGUAGGCGGAAUUCGUGGUGUAGCGGUGAAAUGCUUAGAUAUCACGAAGAACUCCGAUUGCGAAGGCAGCAUACUGGACUUCAACUGACGCUGAUGCUCGAAAGUGUGGGUAUCAAACAGGAUUAGAUACCCUUGUAGUC